UGAGUUGUGAAAGUGAGGACAAUCUCAGUGU
RNAcentral lists this non-coding RNA (31 nucleotides) under Rattus norvegicus (Norway rat). The record is from RNAcentral. Lineage: Eukaryota; Metazoa; Chordata; Mammalia; Rodentia; Muridae.